AACACACAACGCAAUGCCACCCACUGCUGACGGGCAGGACCUUCUGGGGCUGGGUCCAUCUGCAUUGUGAUGAGAGCAGUUUGUGAGUGAUGUCAGCCUAAUUAGGCAGGCUAAUGUCUGGUUUCCUGGAGCGGGCUUUUGUGAAGUAAUUGGCUGCCUUGGGGUCAAAAUGCAGUAAUUAUAGGUCUUAAAAAAAAAAAAACAACUAUAUGAGAUAAACAGCCUUUGAAUUCUUCAAGCAAGUAAGCCAAUCACACCAAGAGACUUCUCUUUGUGCCCAGAACUGCAGUGGGUAUUUUGACAGAAGAUUCUGGAAGGCUACGAAAAACUAAUGAAGUUUGGAAAUGUCAUUUCCGUCUCGGGAGGCGUGGAGACUGGAUCAAAGCCAGCAGGAGCCUACUUGAGGCCUCCACUGAGUCCUUCAAUAGAGAACUGCUCGCUUAGAAGAGGCUUGGGAAGGAUAUGCAUGGUGGCGGUGCUGCCAACCUGGCAUGGAAGGUACAAGAGGCGUCCUGAGCAGGAGGUGGGUCCUGAACUCCUGGCCUCAAGUGGUCCUCCUGCCUUGGCCUCCCAAAGUGCUGGGAUUACAGAUGUGAGCCACCAUUCCCCACCUUGGAUGAUACCUUUUUAGAAGAGUGUGCUGAAGUUUGAGAAGAGCAAGAUGGAAAUACGACACAGAGGAGAACUUACGGGACACGCAUAGCCCAGCCUCUUCUAGAAGUCCUCACCAGGUGCACCCUCUUCCUGCUGCAGGAAGUGCUCUGAGCAUUGCUGCACUGCAAACUCCAGGCAGAAAUGACUCCGAGAAGAAAGUACAUAAUCCCAUCUCUAAGCUCCACUUCUAGAUCCCCUGUUCCUCAUAUUAGAACCUUCCUCUUUCCAGGGCAGUGACCAUAUCUAUUCCUUAUGGAACCACCCACGGAGUGUGGUAUUAGCCCACAGUCCCAGUAGAAACUACACAAUUGUCAGACAGAACAUUCCCCAGAUCUGGGUUAUGGAGUUGUAAGCACCGCUGCAUGGAAGACAGCUCAGGUAGGGCUAAAAUGAUUGCAGCCUGCUUUUUUAGUCUCAUAGCAUCGAUUAUUCAAUCCAGUUAUUCACUCACCACCUUAGCCAUCUUAGUAACAACGGGAAUGGCUUCCUUUCUUUCCAAAGGAAGGCAUCUGAAGACUUAAGUCACAGAGGUUGGCUGGCAGACUAGAUCCCUGCAUCAUUUCUCUAACUCUCUCAGUACAGGAUCCUUAUCCAUUAGGACAGGUUUCACUGCAAGUGAAGCCUCCAGCAGUCAGAGAUUCUAAGGCUGGCCUGAUCCUGAAGACAGAGGGAGGCUCGGCUAAGAGGUCACAGGAAGCUGCACAAUAGCCCCGGGAUAGACGUUCAUGUUCUGGAUUGGUUUCUGGCAGUCCUGUCUGCCUAAUUUAUGGUGGCAAUUUCUCAGGUUCAGGACUAGUGGGGAGAGAUGGAGUCACCUAGGAAGGGACCGGUCCUUUUGCCCCCGUGACUUCUAUAACUCAGAGCAUACUCUUGAAACUGCUUCUGCUCUUGAAAGCAGUAGCUUCCCAACCCAAUUCAUUACACACUCGUGAGACCACCUUAGAGAACCUUGUAACUAAAAAACCAGUUUCUGCAAAAGGGCAGUCCUGAGUUCUGCCUAAUUUCACGUGGGAUUUUGCUGUUUUCGUGACACCAGUGCAAUGAAAUGGCCUAUCUCUUAGAAAUGUAAAGAUCAGUGAUGGUAACAUUCAUAGCAGGGUUUUAUGCUAGGUGGCAGUGAAAUCCUCAGCACACCAGCAGCUCCCUACGCUCCUGUCUCUGGAAUCUCCAGUGUUUAUUUUAUGUGAAGGAGAAACCAACACAGAACUUCUUGAACCCUUUAUGUGGUUGAAGUUGGGCCUUCUCUUCUAUUAGGGAGUGUGUGUCUAUAUCAUGUUAUUGUUCUUAUACCAGAAAAGCUCGACAUGUUUUAUUAUUUAUGGUGUUACCUUGCUGUUUGAACUCAGAAUUUCUUUGCCUGGAAUCUCAGUUGUGACAAAAGAGCAGGAGACUGUUCCAGUCUUCAGUGGUGAAGCCUUCAGGUGAAAGAAAUGGAGAAAAGAAAGGUGGAAGGAUACAGACGGUGGGUCCUAGGAAGAAAGCCCUUUUCUGUUUUAGGCAGAAAAUGUCGCUGUGCCAUGUGAUGAAAGAGCAGGCCUCAGUGAGGCCCAGGGUGUGACACAUGGCAGGGAGCCCGGGUUCUUUUCUUCUCUCUAAACUCCCAACUUUUAUAAAUUAGUGCCUGGGCUUUCAAGGCCAUGACCUUUGAGUUUCAAGAGUCUAUUCAGAACUGAAAAUCCAAGAAUUUGAUUUUUUGGUCUCUAUCUUUUGGUCUGUUCACCUAGCCAUGAAUGACCAAGGGGAGGGAGGGCCACACAGCAGCUCCUGUGUGAGAAGAUAAUUCUCUAUCUCAGAAAGUUGUACCAGCAUCCUGACCUAUGAAUACUGGACAGCCACAAACGUGAAAAUUCUAAUGGUGAUCACAUUGUCUGAUGCAGAAACAAUGCUGUUCUCUUCCUUAUGGUGUGAGCACACUGCAAAGUCCAAUUUAUAUUUUAUCACUGUAUUAGUCCAUUCUCAAGCUGCUAUAAAGAAGGGCCCAAGACUGAGAAAUUUCUAAAGGAAAGAGGUUUAUUUGACUCACAGUUCUGCAGGCCUCAGGAAACUUACAAUCAGGAUGGAAGAGGAAGCAAACAUGUCCUUCUUCACAUGGCAGCAGAAAGGAGAAGGGCUGAGCAAAGUCCCUUAUAAAAUACUCAGAUCUCAUGAGAACUCAUUCAUUAGCAUGAGAACAGCAGCAUGGCGGCAACUGUCCCCUUGACACAUGCAGAUUAUUACAAUUCAAGGUGAGAUUUGUGGGGAUACAGCCAAAUCAUAUCGGGGGAGGCAAACCGUAUCAAUCACAUAUCAACCCCUGAGGAAGAAGGGGAGGAAGAGGGGGCACAUAAUGAUGAUGAUGAGACUUUUUUGUUCCAUUUGGAGAUAUAACAAGUGUGUCUCAUGAAGAGGAGGAGGAGGAGGAGACCCAAGGAGGAGAAAGAAGGAGGCAGAGAGAGAUGAUGGUCGCUGGUGUGGGAGGAGAUGCCAUAUCCCUGUGAGGAGUGGCGCCAGGGCCUUGCUGAUGGCAGGGAACAUGGGAGUCUGGCCAUGAACAUUUCCCUGGAGGAGCUGGGUGUUUGUGCUGCGUGGAGGGUGAGGUUGGCUGGCUCCAAUCCCAGGGAGACACAACCUCAGCCUGCAUUUAUACAACUACACUUCUCAGGCUUCUCAGAGGAGCCACCUCUACACUCUAAUAUCCUCAUGCCCUGAAAGGCUCAGCUAGACCUUUCCAGGGUCCCAGUGAGCAUCCAGCAGUGAUGGCAGGACUGGCAGCAUGAGUCAAAGGGUGCAACAGUGAGAAGUACCUCCUGCACCCCCCCCCGGAUUUGGAAAUGUGAGGGGACACAUUCAGUUGUCACACUGUGGGCCACAGUUGAGAAGCGCCCCAAGAGUCAAUGCUGAGGGCAGAAGGUGGUGACAUGCACGUGCACAAACUCCUUCCCACGUAGAGUACCUCUCGGAAACCUUCCUCUGUGGAAUGAAAUGGCGAGAAUACGGAUGGGGCCAAUGGGGCAUGGGUGUCGUGCACCCCAGCUCCCCAGUGUUCCAGACUGUGGGAUGAAACCAGCAUGCCUGACUCACAAGCAGAAGGCAGAGGUCGGAAGGGGCAGCAAAUGGUCUCACACUUUCAAAGCUGGUGAGCACUCAAUCUGAAUCCUGAGUUAAACAGAUGUCUUGGCCGGGCGCUGUGGCUUACACCUGUAAUCCCAGCACUUUGGGAGGCUGAGGCGGGCAGAUCACAGGGUCAAGAGAUCGAGACCAUCCUGGCCAUGGUCUCUACUAAACCCUGUCUCUACUAAAAAUACAAAAAUUAGCUGGGUGUGGUGGCAUACGCCUGUGGUCCCAGCUACUCGGGAGGCUGAGGCGGAAGAAUCGCUUGAACCCAGGCGGAGGUUGCAGUGAGCCAAGGUUGUGCCACUGCACUCCAGCCUGGCGACAGAGUAAGACUCCGUCUCAAAAAAACAAAAACAAAACAGAUGUCCUGCAAUUCAGUAGAUCAACCAAGUGACCUCUGCAAGGGGACGCAAGAGGGGUGACGAGUGUGCUCCCCAACUCCGGACCCGGGCUGCAGAGCUGAGCAACGCUGCCUCUCCCUCUUGUGAGCAUUGCUGAGGUGAGUGGCUUUUAAUUCCUCUGUGCCUCAGUUUCCUCUCUAUAUUAUGAAAGUAUUUCCUCCUACAAGGCAAGACUCUCUGAGAAGUUACUGUUCCCAUAUUGCACCACCCCAGAAAUGGAGCUCACCAGUUUAUCCCCAUCCCAAUGAGCUGGUGGACUCUAGAGAUAAGAGCGUGGGACGGGGAGGCCGGGCCUUCACUUUGUCAUUUGUGAAAUGGGAUGGCAAAUAGCCCUUCUCUCACAGGUGAGGUGGGAACCGGUGAGCUGAAACAUGAAAAGUGGCUUUAAAAUAUUACCUGACUCUCCGGGGCCUCGAGGCGAUCCAAAGCCACAGGCUGUAGCAUGCAGGAGAGAUUUCAUCCUGGAUUUCUUGGAGACAAGAAGACGUGGUUAAGUCAGAUGGUCAGGCAGUCCCCGCAUUAGCCAUGUCUGGCCUCUCCUUGGUGUUCCCCUUAGGUUGCCAUCACGGGAACCUCCCUCCACCGUGUCUGCCUGUCUUGAAUAUUCCUAUCACUAUUAUGGGACUUUUACUUUGGGAUAAUAGUGGAAAGUCUUAGCAACACCAUUUUAACAGGAGGCAGGCCUUGUUUAAAAGCAGUCUAGCAGUGCUUUUAUUAUUAUUAUUAUUGAGAUGGAGUCUCACUCUGCAAUCGCCACUUCCUGGGUUCAAACGAUUCUCCUGCCUCAGCCUCCCAAGUAGCUGGGAUUACAGGCGCACCCCACCACGCCUGGCUAAUUUUUGUAUUUUUAGUAGAGACAUGGUGUCACCAUGUUGGUCAGGCUGGCCUCAAACUCCUGAGCUCAAGUGAUCCCCCCACCUCAGCCUCCCAAAGUACUGGGAUUACGGGCAUGAGCCACCACACCCGGUCGGGCAGCACUUAAGUACACACGAAGCCCAUGUGCAGCAAUUCUGCUCCUACCUGCUCACAGGUCGUGGGGGUCAUGCCCCCCUCAACUGUGUGCUUCAUGGCAGCACUGUCUGCAGGAGAGGCAGAGUGGUCUGCAGUACUUAGAGGCAACAGACGAGGUUCAUAGCAGUUCAGAGUGAAAAGGCAGAAACAAAAUGCUGUCUAGAGCCCGCCACUGUAAGGGAGAGUGGGGGACAGAGGCACAGGUAGAAAUGCAGAUUCUCCCUCCACUCCUGAAUCUGCAUCUGUGAAUAAGGAUGCCCAGGCGGGCACAUUGAAGAUAGGGAAGUGCGGUCUGUGGCACACAGAGCGGCGGCAUGAGGAGAACAGGGGAAAAUGUCAAUGCAGUUAAAACUCAGGCAAGAGCGACACAGAGGCGGCGCAUGCUUUCUCCUGGUGAGCAAGCUUCCUGCAGGCACCGUCUACAAGAAAGAUGGCUGAAGACAUGGACAAGCUCACCAACAGCCCGUGUCUCCUCCUCCCUCCCUGGCCUCAAGGCCCAAAGGGAACCUGUGAGCCAAGACCAAGCCUGGGUCCAGGGUCCCAGCCCUUUCGACCCACUGCUUUGCUGCAGCCGGGCUUCUGUUCCUGCCUUGAGUAAGAGUCCCUCACUGUGCAUUUGCUGCAGCUACUCAUUAAGGCAAAGCGCUUGCACAUGAAGUCAUGUGGAAAAAAGGGAAGGGAUUUAAGGCAUAGCAUUUGCUAGAUGCAAACAUAAGAAGGGAAGAUGUUUUCAUCAAACAUUGAUUCCCAGUCAAAGCUAAAUUCCAGAGAUUGGGAAGGGUGAGAUCAAUUAGUAUGAAGCUGAAAAUAAUUUUGUGUUCAGUGUCUCAGUGCUCUGCCAUUUGCUUACAGUAUGUCUGUUGCCUUAUAUAGUUACUUCAAUGCACUGGAUGGUGAGUUAAGAAGGAACAAUUAGUAAGAGAAGCAUGGUUUUAAAGAAAAGUCUUGGGGAGAGAGGGUGGAGGUAGAGAGAUGUGAUAAUCCCAGACCACUUCAACGGUUCCCAGAAUAGCCACAGGAACUCAUGGAGCUGGAAAUGUCCGUUGCAAGAUGCUGGCUUUUUGGCAUCCUUUUCUUUUCUUUUCUUUUCCCUUCCCUUC
Callithrix jacchus (white-tufted-ear marmoset) is the source of this 6259-nucleotide non-coding RNA. The record is from RefSeq and is a predicted model, not a curated record. Lineage: Eukaryota; Metazoa; Chordata; Mammalia; Primates; Cebidae.